GAAAUGCGAUAAGUAAUGUGAAUUGCAGAAUUCAGUGAAUCAUCGAAUCUUUGAACGCACAUUGCUCCCCUUGGUAUUCCGAGGGGCAUGCCUGUUCGAGCGUCAUUACACCACUCAAGCUAUGCUUGGUAUUGGGUGCCGUCCUUAGUUGGGCGCGCCUUAAAGACCUCGGCGAGGCCUCACCGGCUUUAGGCGUAGUAGAAUUUAUUCGAACGUCUGUCAAAGGAGAGGACUUCUGCCGACUGAAACCUUUUAUUUUUCUAGGUUGACCUCGGAUCAGGUAGGGAUACCCGCUGAACUUAAGC
This 305-nucleotide unclassified non-coding RNA is filed under the name plant metagenome. Its description in RNAcentral is "partial contains 5.8S ribosomal RNA, internal transcribed spacer 2, and large subunit ribosomal RNA". The stretch from base 1 to 105 matches the Rfam family "5.8S ribosomal RNA", at positions 50 to 154 of the family's 154-position model. The record is from RNAcentral.